UGUUCCAAAUAAUCAAAUUUGUCCAACACUCAAAAAAUAAAUUUCAUAUUACAAUCAAUCACACAAAAUGACAAAGAAGACACUUAUCAAAUUUAAAAACAUGACAUAUUAUUACAUUUUUAAGGAGUAGUAUAGAAAUAAUUUCUCAAAUAGAAUGGUAAUCGUACAUAGGUAGCUAUACUUAAGAAUAAAUACUAUAUUAUUCAUUUCACCGAAUAUAGUAUAGACGGCGAGUUCAUCUUGUUCAAUUCUUUUUUUAGACAGGCUGAUACACAUUCAUUUCGUUCACCAUCAUUAUUCUUCACCACCAUAUAGAGAUCGUCUUCAUCUCCUCUCUUUUUCCCAACACGACAAUGCUUUUACCGACUCGCGUCGUUGUUCUUCACCACUGGAUCUAUAAAACAAAAACAGAAACAAAAACAGAGUAUGGAAACAAAAGCAUGAUUGUGAGAAUCAAUUGAUUUAAGGAAAAAAAAGGGAAAAAAAAAUGAAAGAGUUGUUGUGUGUGCUCACCGUCUACGCUUUCAUCGUUGUAUGUUCUUCACCACUGGAUCUCUAAAACAAAAACAGAAACAAAAACAGAGUAUGAAACAAAAUCAUGAUUGUGAGAAUCAAUUGAUUUAAGAAGAAAAGGAAAAGAAAUGAAAGAAUUGUUGUGUGUGCUCAC
Molecule: long non-coding RNA, 667 nt
Filed under: Brassica rapa (field mustard)
Lineage: Eukaryota; Viridiplantae; Streptophyta; Magnoliopsida; Brassicales; Brassicaceae
Description: long non-coding RNA (BRAP_LNC000541)
Source: RNAcentral